Molecule: ribosomal RNA, 432 nt
Filed under: uncultured bacterium
Lineage: Bacteria
Description: partial 16S ribosomal RNA
Rfam family: Bacterial small subunit ribosomal RNA
Source: RNAcentral
GAUGAACGCUGGCGGUAUGCUUAACACAUGCAAGUCGAACGGUCACUUCGGUGAUAGUGGCGGACGGGUGAGUAACGCGUGAGAAUCUGUCUUCAGGUCGGGGACAACAGUUAGAAAUGACUGCUAAUACCGGAUGUGCCUUUGGGUGAAAGAUUUAUUGCCUGAAAAAGAGCUCGCGUCAGAUUAGCUAGUAGGUGGUGUAAGAGACUACCUAGGCUCCGAUCUGUAGCUGGUCUGAGAGGACGAUCAGCCACACUGGAACUGAGACACGGUCCAGACUCCUACGGGAAGCAGCAGUGGGGAAUUUUCCGCAAUGGGCGAAAGCCUGACGGAGCAAUACCGCGUGAGGGACGAAGGCUUUUGGGUCGUAAACCUCUUUUCUCAAGGAAGAUGAUGACGGUACUUGAGGAAUAAGCAUCGGCUAACUCUGUG